UACAGAGGGUGCAAGCGUUGUUCGGAAUUAUUGGGCGUAAAGGGCGUGUAGGCGGUCUGCUAAGUCAUGUGUGAAAUCCCUCGGCUUAACCGAGGAACGACGCAUGAAACUGGCAAGCUAGAGUACCAAAGAGGGGGGUGGAAUUCCCGGUGUAGCGGUGAAAUGCGUAGAUAUCGGGAAGAACACCCGUGGCGAAGGCGGUUCUCUGGGACGGUACUGACGCUGAGACGCGAAAGCGUGGGGAGCGAACAGG
Molecule: ribosomal RNA, 253 nt
Filed under: uncultured bacterium
Lineage: Bacteria
Description: partial 16S ribosomal RNA
Rfam family: Bacterial small subunit ribosomal RNA
Source: RNAcentral